RNAcentral lists this ribosomal RNA (253 nucleotides) under uncultured bacterium. RNAcentral's name for it is "partial 16S ribosomal RNA". It matches the Rfam family "Bacterial small subunit ribosomal RNA", at positions 524 to 776 of the family's 1533-position model. The record is from RNAcentral.
UACGGAGGGUGCAAGCGUUGUUCGGAAUUACUGGGCGUAAAGGGAGCGUAGGCGGACCCUAAAGUCUGAUGUGAAAGCCCGGGGCUCAACUCCGGAAGUGCAUUGGAAACUUAGGGUCUUGAGUUCGGGAGAGGAAGGCAGAAUUCCCGGUGUAGGGGUGAAAUCCGUAGAGAUCGGGAGGAAAACCAGUGGCGAAGGCGGCCUUCUGGAACGAAACUGACGCUGAGGCUCGAAAGCGUGGGGAGCAAACAGG